UUUGACAGAGGAGAUGGAUUAAUUAGCACUUGCAGUAAAUUUCUGGUUCAUUGCGAGAUGCUUGCCUUGUUGGGAAUACAUCCUCGCAACACAUGAUGGGAGGUAUUAAGACAUGAGGAAUCAGAAAAUCUUAAAAUUUACAUAGUAGAUGAGGGAAGAGCUUGGAUCUAAUUUUGAAGUAUGUUCCAACAAGCCGAAAUUAAGUUCUAACACCUGAGUGUGGGCCGAGAAUUUGUUUCUUCUUUCAUGUAUAAUUGCAUCCUCAACAUCUCCUAAAUUUGCUUGCAAUUGAAAGCUUAUCUUCUUGAUAAAAAGCAUAAACAAUGUUUCUUUGUAUCAUCAGUUCUUGUGCAGACUUCAAGUAUAUUAUGUUAGCUUCUCCAGGAAAGCAGUUGUCAGCAAGAGUCAUACCAAUUUUUCUUAUGGCUCUUAAAUCUUGCCCUUUCAUUAAAAUUUCCAUAAAAUUCUGAAUCCCCUUAAUGCCACAUUCUCUUUGGUCAACACAUACAAGAUACAAUUCAAGAAGUUACCUCCCCACUUCUUAUCAUUAUCUAGGUCAACAAUCAAAACUAAUGCAUCUAUGAUCAAAAAGAAAUUUAUGGGACUGUAAAGAGUUAGCAUAAAUUGCUCAGCAAGCCUCGUUGCAUCUACAGCAACGUGAAUUAAGAAAUAUAUCAGGAUAGUGUACAUGCUGCUGUCGCAGAAGGACCUUGCUCAAAAUAUCUAGAACUCACCUGAAGCUUCGACCAUCUUUGAAAGCUUCAGUAAUUGCAUACUCUGAUGGCAUGUUGACAUAAGUUUCUGGCCAGUUGCACGGAUGAGCAUGGAAGUAAUAAAAUCCACAAUCACAAACAUCAAACUGUAUAUAGCACUGAUAAGCAUUACAACUAUUAUAAAACCUAUAUUCAAAGACAUCAAACUGAACCCCCAAAGAAGAAGAAGAAGAGGAGGAGGAAGAAAAAGGUUGAUAUUUAUUAUGUAUAUCACGGUUCACAAACUAUCAUCUGAAAGGUUAAUGGUUGUCAGAUUUUCAUAAAAGCAACUUCCACUAUCAACAUGAUUGUAAAAUUAAUUCUAAAAAGUUACAAAAGAUGAUUUUUAAAAAAAAAUGAAGGCAACAUUACUUUGGCCACAAUAUUUAUUGCAAUGUAGAAAUCAUUGAUUUGUUGACUGUCUGACAUCAUUUUGCACAUAAAUAAAAGAUAUCCAAGAAGAUCUGCUAAUUUCAACUGCUUUUAGCAACAAGACUGCCAUCUCAGUGGAUUCUUCAGGGGAACAAAUAACAGAGAUCAUCUUGCAAUUGGUCAAGCUAAGUUGCCAACUGAAUCAGGAGAAGAAAGUUGCUUUGCAAAAGAAUAAAAUGCAGCAUUUAAAUUGAUAAUGAUUUUAGGGUCUCACAUAAGCGUCAACUAAUUUCAUAUGCACAGAACAAAACAUCUGAAUGACUGAUCAGACCAUUUAUCUCCAAUGUUAAAAUAAAAAGGAAACAAAACAAAAUAAAGAUAGAUGCCUGCAAUAAAAAAGAGGAGGUUGCCCUUCACUUCUGCAACACAAAAGAAAAAAAUGGCAUAAACGUUAGUGAAAAUCGAACACUAAAAUUUUGAAUUAGAUAAAAGGUAAGCUGAGAUAUUCAGAACAAGCUAAGUUAAAAUUUGCUGAAGCUCCCAAAAGACAAUCAUAGUGAAAAACCACACGUAUAUUUUCAGGAUCUUUUGGAUGCAUGAGAAGACCUAAUUUCACCCAUUAAAAAUAGAUAAUGAGCAAGUGACAUGAACUUGAUAAUAAGAUUUGCUGUCUCGGUACCAGGCCCCAUACCAAUGCUAACUUAUUACUGUGUCGGUAUAGAUCCGGUUUGGCAUACCGAGUGUCAGUAUGCCUUCCAUAUAGCAUACAAGCAUCAAACUGGUACAGUAUGGUACACGCAUACCAAGUGUCAGUUUGCCUUCCAUAUAGCAUACCAGCACCAAAC
This 1969-nucleotide long non-coding RNA is filed under the name Elaeis guineensis (African oil palm). RNAcentral describes it as "long non-coding RNA (EGUI_LNC011210)". Lineage: Eukaryota; Viridiplantae; Streptophyta; Magnoliopsida; Arecales; Arecaceae. The record is from RNAcentral.